GAUGAAGAACGUAGCAAAAUGCAAUAAGUAAUGUGAAUUGCAGAAUUCAGUGAAUCAUCGAAUCUUUGAACGCACAUUGCGCCCGCCAGUAUUCUGGCGGGCAUGCCUGUUCGAGCGUCAUUUCAACCCUCAAGCACAGCUUGGUGUUGGGACUCGCGUUAAUUCGCGUUCCCCAAAUUGAUUGGCGGUCACGUCGAGCUUCCAUAGCGUAGUAGUAAAACCCUCGUUACUGGUAAUCGUCGCGGCCACGCCGUUAAACCCCAACUUCUGAAUGUUGACCUCGGAUCAGGUAGGAAUACCCGCUGAACUUAAGCAUAUCAAUAAGCGGAGGA
RNAcentral lists this unclassified non-coding RNA (332 nucleotides) under soil metagenome. RNAcentral describes it as "partial contains 5.8S ribosomal RNA, internal transcribed spacer 2, and large subunit ribosomal RNA". The stretch from base 1 to 120 matches the Rfam family "5.8S ribosomal RNA", at positions 35 to 154 of the family's 154-position model. The record is from RNAcentral.